Molecule: ribosomal RNA, 1241 nt
Filed under: metagenome
Description: bacterial LSU rRNA
Rfam family: Bacterial large subunit ribosomal RNA
Source: RNAcentral
UGAAUACGAGAUGCUACGGCAUUGAAGCAGUGUAUGUCAGACUUCCAAGAAAAGCUCGCAAUGUCAUAAACAAUAAAUGCCUGUACCAUAACCGACACAGGUGGGUAGGUAGAGUAUACUAAGGGGCGCGAGAUAACUCUCUCUAAGGAACUCGGCAAAAUGACUCCGUAACUUCGGGAGAAGGAGUGCCUUAUUUUAUAAGGUUGCAAUAACAAGAUCCAAGCAACUGUUUACCAAAAACACAGGUCUCCGCUAAGUCGAAAGACGAUGUAUGGGGGCUGACGCCUGCCCAGUGCCAGAAGGUUAAAGAAGUUGGUUAGCUUCGGCGAAGCUGAUGACUGAAGCCCUGGUGAACGGCGGCCGUAACAAUAACGGUCCUAAGGUAGCGAAAUUCCUUGUCGGGUAAGUUCCGACCCGCACGAAAGGCGUAAUGAUUUGGAUACUGUCUCGGAGAGGGGCUCGGUGAAAUAGACUUGUCUGUGAAGAUGCGGACUACCUGCACCUGGACAGAAAGACCCUAUGAAGCUUUACUGUAACUUGAGAUUGAAAUUGGACUUUAUUUGCGCAGUAUAGGUGGGAGACGUUGAGAAUAUUCUUGCGGGAAUAUUGGAGUCAUUGUGAGAUACCACUCUUGUAAUGUUAGAUUUCUAACUUUGUAUCAUUAUCUGGUCAAAGGACAGUUUCAGGCGGGCAGUUUGACUGGGGCGGUCGCCUCCUAAACGGUAACGGAGGCGCACAAAGGUUUCCUCUGAACGUGUAGAAAUCGUAUCUAGAGUGUAAAGGCAUAAGGAAGCUUGACUGUGAGACCUACAAGUCGAGCAGGGACGAAAGUCGGUCUUAGUGAUCUGACGGUGCUGAGUGGAAAGGCCGUCACUCAACGGAUAAAAGUUACUCUAGGAUAACAGGCUGAUCUCCCCCAAGAGUUCACAUCGACGGGGAGGUUUGGCACCUCGAUGUCGGCUCAUCGCAUCCUGGGGCGGUAGUACGUCCCAAGGGUUGGGCUGUUCGCCCAUGAAAGCGGUACGCGAGCUGGGUUCAGAACGUCGUGAGACAGUUCGGUCCAUAUCCGGUGUAGGCGUUAGAAUAUUGAGAGGAGCCUUCUUUAGUACGAGAGGACCGAGAAGGACAUACCUCUGGUGUACCAGUUAUCGUGCCAACGGUAAGCGCUGGGUAGCUAUGUAUGGAGUGGAUAACCGCUGAAAGCAUCUAAGUGGGAAGCCCACCUCAAGAUAAGUAUUCUC